CUCUCUGAUCUACUGGAGCAUCCACACUGUAAACUGGAGAAACUAGAUCUCACGUGUCCUGGAGUUUCUCACAGAGAGGAAUGAGGAUCCUUCACAUCCACAUCCAGGAGACACCUGACAAGAUUCUUCCCCAGCGCUGGAUCUCCAGUGAACAAGCUCUCCACACCAACCACACCCCCUACACACC
Electrophorus electricus (electric eel) is the source of this 187-nucleotide non-coding RNA. NCBI's taxonomy places the organism in Eukaryota, Metazoa, Chordata, Actinopteri, Gymnotiformes, Gymnotidae. The record is from RefSeq and is a predicted model, not a curated record.